GAAUUUUGGACAAUGGGCGAAAGCCUGAUCCAGCAAUGCCGCGUGCAGGAUGAAGGCCCUCGGGUUGUAAACUGCUUUUGUCCGGAACGAAAAGCUUUGGUUUAAUACCCUGGAGUCAUGACGGUACCGUAAGCAUUAGCACUGGUUAACUAGCUGCCAGCAGCCGCGGUAAUAAGUAGGGUGCAAGCGUUAAUCGGAAUGACUGGGCGUAAAGCGUGCGCAGGCGGUUUUGUAAGACAGAGGUGAAAUCCCAGGGCUCAGCCUGGGAACUGCCUUUGUGACUGCAAGGCUAGAGUACGGCAGAGGGGGGUGGAAUUCCGCGUGUAGCAGUGAAAUGCGUAGAUAUGCGGAGGAACACCGAUGGCGAAGGCAACCCCCUGGGCCUGUACUGACGCUCAUGCACGAAAGCGUGGGGAGCAAACAG
RNAcentral lists this ribosomal RNA (424 nucleotides) under uncultured bacterium. RNAcentral describes it as "partial 16S ribosomal RNA". It matches the Rfam family "Bacterial small subunit ribosomal RNA", at positions 359 to 775 of the family's 1533-position model. The record is from RNAcentral.